This 74-nucleotide transfer RNA is filed under the name bacterium. Its description in RNAcentral is "tRNA-Arg". It matches the Rfam family "tRNA". From Rfam's summary of the family: Transfer RNA (tRNA) molecules are approximately 80 nucleotides in length. Their secondary structure includes four short double-helical elements and three loops (D, anti-codon, and T loops). The record is from RNAcentral. RNAcentral also lists the same sequence under 2 other names.
GCGUCCUUAGUUCAGCUGGAUAGAAUGCGUGGCUUCGAACCAUGAGGUCGGGGGUUCGAGUCCCUCAGGGCGCA